GACCAGAAGCAUAAUAUCAGCGUGGAAACAAAAAGGCAAAGGUCUCAAUUUUUGGUCAUUGAUCUUCUCUGAUCUGAUCUAAUUCUAAUAUUUUUCAAGCACACAGCUGCAAUAAAAUGACCAACACUGAUGAGGCUGAGGGCAGCCAGGACCUGGAGGCUCCAGAGGAAGACCUGGAUGAUGAACUUCAAACUUUACUGCACUUCAGCAAACAUGGAGACAAUCAGAGGGCUCAACCAUGGCAGCAGUGGACCUUCAGAGAGAAGGCAAACUAUCUAAUGGACCGCAUMUUCCUUGGUUUUUUGAUUCUCUUUUUGAUUGUGUUGAUUUGUGAAUGCGGCUAUAAAAUGUGGUAUGUGUCAAACAUAAAGAAGAUGGUGCAGUUUAUGUCAGACUCRGUGAUUUUUAUAUUUGACUGGCUCUUCACACAGGAAAGACAAGAGGAACUGUUUGAACUGUAAGAUGAUCUGUGUUAUCGCCCGAUUCUAUUUCAGGUAGAAAUAAAGUUAACUUGUUAACACUUCUGUAGUUCUCCGAAACUACAUSUUCUUCUUAACUUUAUUUCUGACUGUCAAAAUGAUGGAAAUAAAUUGUGUAACUAACUA
This is a long non-coding RNA of Austrofundulus limnaeus, 605 nucleotides long. RefSeq lists it as uncharacterized. The transcript is spliced from 2 exons. NCBI's taxonomy places the organism in Eukaryota, Metazoa, Chordata, Actinopteri, Cyprinodontiformes, Rivulidae. The record is from RefSeq and is a predicted model, not a curated record.